CAAGUCGAGGGGCAGCAUGGUCUUAGCUUGCUAAGGCCGAUGGCGACCGGCGCACGGGUGAGUAACACGUAUCCAACCUGCCGUCUACUCUUGGACAGCCUUCUGAAAGGAAGAUUAAUACAAGAUGGCAUCAUGAGUCCACAUGUUCACAUGAUUAAAGGUAUUCCGGUAGACGAUGGGGAUGCGUUCCACUAGAUAGUAGGCGGGGUAACGGCCCACCUAGUCUUCGAUGGAUAGGGGUUCUGAGAGGAAGGUCCCCCACAUUGGAACUGAGACACGGUCCAAACUCCUACGGGAGGCAGCAGUGAGGAAUAUUGGUCAAUGGGCGAGAGCCUGAACCAGCCAAGUAGCGUGAAGGAUGACUGCCCUAUGGGUUGUAAACUUCUUUUAUAAAGGAAUAAAGUCGGGUAUGCAUACCCGUUUGCAUGUACUUUAUGAAUAAGGAUCGGCUAACUCCGUGCCAGCAGCCGCGGUAAUACGGAGGAUCCGAGCGUUAUCCGGAUUUAUUGGGUUUAAAGGGAGCGUAGAUGGAUGUUUAAGUCAGUUGUGAAAGUUUGCGGCUCAACCGUAAAAUUGCAGUUGAUACUGGAUAUCUUGAGUGCAGUUGAGGCAGGCGGAAUUCGUGGUGUAGCGGUGAAAUGCUUAGAUAUCACGAAGAACUCCGAUUGCGA
This 671-nucleotide ribosomal RNA is filed under the name uncultured Bacteroidales bacterium. Its description in RNAcentral is "bacterial SSU rRNA". It matches the Rfam family "Bacterial small subunit ribosomal RNA", at positions 58 to 718 of the family's 1533-position model. The record is from RNAcentral. Lineage: Bacteria; Pseudomonadati; Bacteroidota; Bacteroidia; Bacteroidales.